UCCAGUCACGGAUACGGCGCACGAUGG
Molecule: small RNA, 27 nt
Filed under: Bombyx mori (domestic silkworm)
Lineage: Eukaryota; Metazoa; Arthropoda; Insecta; Lepidoptera; Bombycidae
Description: ovarian small RNA-26871
Source: RNAcentral